GCUGGGCGUGGUGGCGGGCGCCUGUAAUCCCAGCUACUCAGGAGGCUGAGGUGGGAGAAUUGCUUGACCCCGGGAGGCGGAGGUUGCAGUGAGCUGAGAUCACGCCACUGCACUUCAGCCUGGGUGACAGAGCAAGACUCUGUCUCAA
RNAcentral lists this non-coding RNA (148 nucleotides) under Pan troglodytes (chimpanzee). Lineage: Eukaryota; Metazoa; Chordata; Mammalia; Primates; Hominidae. The record is from Rfam by way of RNAcentral.